AUCCAAGGUGAUUCCCUCUCCAAGGGGCCUACUAGUGCCCCUCUCAGGGAAGUAGCAACUUGGAAUGCAAUCUGGCUUGGCUAAGGUCUUCAAGGGACAGGGGACACUUACUUAUUUUGCCUUCCUUUGGCUGCCUAUAUGU
This 142-nucleotide small nucleolar RNA is filed under the name Prolemur simus (greater bamboo lemur). Its description in RNAcentral is "Small nucleolar RNA SNORA67 (ENSPSMG00000020561.1)". It matches the Rfam family "Small nucleolar RNA SNORA67". Rfam says of the family: U67 belongs to the H/ACA class of snoRNAs which are thought to guide the sites of modification of uridines to pseudouridines. The record is from Rfam by way of RNAcentral. Lineage: Eukaryota; Metazoa; Chordata; Mammalia; Primates; Lemuridae.